This 8542-nucleotide long non-coding RNA is filed under the name Homo sapiens (human). Its description in RNAcentral is "HSALNT0202109". The record is from RNAcentral. Lineage: Eukaryota; Metazoa; Chordata; Mammalia; Primates; Hominidae.
UUCUUAGUUUGUGGCCUUGUCCAACAUCUUCAAAGCCAGCAACAUCAGGCUGAGUCCUUUUCAUGCUGCGAUCUCUCUGGUUUUCUCUUUUGUCUUCCUCUUCCACUUGUAAGGACCCUUGUGAUUACACUGCACCCAGGUGGAUAAACCAAGAUAACCUCCCUAUUUUAAGGUCAGCUGAUAAGCAAACAAUUUCACCUGCAACCUUAAUUCUCCUUUGCCAUAUUUGCAAACUGUGGGGAUUAGGAUGGGACAUGUUUUGGAGGGGGCAUUGAGCCACAUUACUCUGCCUACCACAUAUAUUAGCUGAAAGCUUUUUUUUUUUUUUCUUUUUUUGAGACAGAGUUUCGCUCUUGUUGCCCAGGCUGGAGUGCAGUGGCACAAUCUCGGCUCACUUGCAACUUCCAUCUCCUGGGUUCAGGUGAUUCUCCUGCCUCAGCCUCCCAAGUAACUGGGAUUACAGGCAUGCACCACCAUGCCCAGCUAAUUUUGUAUUUUUAGUAGAGACGGGGUUUCACCAUGUUGGUUGGACUGGUCUCAAACUCCUGACCUCAUGAUCUGCCUGCCUUGGCCUCCCAAAGUGAUGAGACUGCCCGGCCUAAGAUUUCUUAAUAGAAACUUUAAAGUAAAAAUAUUAAUGGCUAUAUUCAAAAGUUCUACUUCCUAAAUUGAAAGAAAAAUUAAUAAAUCCUUGAGAUUACUAGAAAACCCUUACAGUAAAUGAGCAUUUAUGACUUGUACCCAAAUAAAUACUAUAGGUAAUAGACACUAACUUAUUACUUAAGAAAAAGUACAAUAAUCACACUUGUAUAUUUUGACUGGUUGUUGAUGUUCCUUGGUCUUCAUCAGUAAUACAAAUGUGGUCAUUAGAUGUAGUAGAAAUAUUCUCCAAGCCCUCCCUUAAUUCUUCAGAUUUCUGCAUACUUAUCCCCUCUCUUUCUCUUGACUUUCUAGAGUCCUUAGAGGUACUGGAGGCCUCUUCUGUUUUUUCUUCCCCUUUGAAAGUAGCGAGUUUUUCUAAGUAUUCUACUACUUCAUCUCUCAACUCAUCUUCAGAUUCUUCAAAAUUUCUGAAAUAAUAAGCAGUAAAAAUCAGCAUUAUGAUAUGAAAGUACUGAAGAAUACAUGUAAAAACUCGUUUCCCUUUUCUCCAUCCCCAGUUGAGCAAUAUAAAAGUUGCAUUUUCACCUAGGUUUUUCUAAGCAUGAUAAACAGCUAAUGUUGGGAGAAUCAGUCUUCUGUUGAGUUUUACAUUGUGUUAAACACCCUUUAUUAUAUUUAUUAAUGUCCAUCAUCUAAUGUUUAAGAGGAGAGGAAGAGAGAAUUAAAAAAAAAGAAAAAAACAAUUGCCGUACAUCGAGCUCUUACUAUAUGUCCAUCAAUAUCCUAGGGUACUUAUACCAUAUUCCACUUAAUACUAACAACAUUUUGAGGUAGACAUUAUCAUCAAAUUAUAAAUAAAGAAGCUAAGGCUCAGAGAGGUUAAAAAAUGUGGCCGGGCGCGGUGGCUCACGCCUGUAAUCCCAGCACUUUGGGAGGCCGAGGCGGGCGGAUCACGAGGUCAGGAGAUCGAGACCAUCCUGGCUAACACGGUGAAACCCCGUCUCUACUAAAAAUACAAAAAAUUAGCCGGGCGUGGUACCGGGCGCCUGUAGUCCCAGCUACUCGGGAGGCUGAGGCAGGAGAAUGGCAUGAACCUGGGAGGCGGAGCUUGCAGUGAGCCGAGAUCGCGCCACUGCACUCCAGCCUGGGCGACAGAGCGAGACUCCGUCUCAAAAAAAAAAAAUGUGUUGAAGGUCUCACAGCUACUAAUUCAUAGAACCAGGAAUUAAAAUUGUGUCUAAGACUGCAACAUUGGUAUUUUUAGAAAGGAAAGGGAAUAGAUCAAUAAGACAAUCUGCACCAACCUAAAUUAAACCUAAAAGUAACUGCACCAACCUAAUAUUUAAGUAGCAAGUAUGAGGUCAGGAGUUUGAGACCAGCCUGGCCAACAUGGCAAAACCCCUUCUCUACUAAAAAUACAAAAAAUUAGGCAUGGUGGCGCACACUUGUAGUUCCAGCUACUCAGGAGGCUGAGACAGGAGAAUCACUUGAAUGCAGGAGGCGGAGGUUGCAGUGAGCCGAGAUCGCACCACUGCACUCCAGCCUGGGAGACAGAGCGAGACUCCAUCUCAAAACAAAACGGAACAAAAAAAGUGGCAAGUGGAGGAGAUUGAGAAAGAGCUGAUAAGAGCCAAGAAGAUGUGUAUCGUGGAAGCCAAAGGAGUAGCCAAAUAGGAUGAGGACUGAGAAAUGAUUACCUGACUUGCCAAUUUCAAGGUAAUAGAUGACUGUUGAAAGAAUAUUUCAGAUGAGUGCCGUGCAGCAGGAGCCAAUGUACAGUGGGUCCAGAAAGCAAUGGAGAUUAACAAAGUGGUGACAGGUGGGGACUACAGGUGAGCACCACUAUGCCCAGGUUUUUUAUUUUUAGCAGCUAGGAGGUCUCACUGUGUUACCCAGGCUGGUCAUAAACUACUGUGUUCAAACAAUCCUCUCACCUCAGCCUCCCAAAGUGCUGGGAGAGCUACUCAGGAGGCUGAUGCAGGAGGAUUGCUUGAGCCCAGGAGUUUACAGUUGUAAUGAGCUAUGAUCAUGCCACUGCACUCCAGCCUAGGCAUCAGAGCAAGACACUCAUCUGAAAAAAAAAAAAAAAAAAAAGUGGUGACAAUGAAUUUAAACUCCUCUUUCAGCGAGCCUAACUCCGAAAGGAAUGGUAUUAUUUAGAGAACAUGGGGGCAAUGGUUUUUGGUUAUUGUUUUUAAUGGGAGAGAGUUGGGCAUGUUUAUAUGCUGAGGAAAGGAGGUAGUAGAUAUUCAAAACAGGAGACAGGUGGAAUAACCAAUAGGAGCCAGGUCACUGAAAAGAGGCUGGGUUUUAGAGCACCUGCAGAGCAUGGGCUUUCAGCAGGAAGAGGGACAGUUUUUCCUAAGAAAAAGAAGAUAGGGAGAGAGAAGGAGAGAAGGACUCAUGGAUAUAGAGAAGUUAUGGAGCUAGAAAACUGAUUCUGCAGAACGCGUACUAUCUCUGUGAAGGAGGAGGCACAGUCACACGAUGAGUGUGUGUGGAUGGGAGUGAGCUGAGGGAUGAGGGUUUGGAAUCACUGAUACACUGGGAAGGAAGCUGACCAGGCUUAGGAUUGCCAGUCAUCAUGGAGGACCCCACUAAAACUGGAGACCAUAAAUUUGGGUGGACCAGUAAGUGCAACUCCCACUUACUGUUACCAUUCCUGAGAUAUGUGCUUUACACAGAUCUUUCCUUUGUCUUUGUUCCUCUACUAAACUAUGCUGUGUCUAGGUAUAAAUUUAUUUUCGUUGUUGCUGCUUGAUAAUUGUUUUAUUUCCCAGAUAUGAUGAUUACUGGCUUCAAAUAAUUAUAGAAAGUUCACAGCUGGAAUUGAUUUGCAUAUUGUUUUCUCAUAUUCUUUUCUUCUGGAACUCCUUUUCAUAUACAUUUGACUUCAUGCCUCUUAACUUCUCUGUCACAUUUUCCAUCAUGUUUUUACUUAGACCUAUCUUCCAGUUACUAACUCCUUUAUUAUCUGCACCUAUUCUGUUUUUUAAACCAUCAGUCGAAUUUUAAUUUCUAUUCAUAGAUUUUUUUCAACUUCCAGAAGUUCUAGUGAAUUAUAAAAAUUUUUGCUAUGGUCUGAAUGUUUGUGCCCCUGUUCCCAAUUCAUGUGUUGAAACCUAAUCCUCAAUGUGAUAGUAUUAAGGGGUGGAGCCUUUAGGAGGUGAUGAGGUCAUGAGAGCACAGCCCUCAUGAGUGGGAUCAGUGCCCUUAUAAAAGAAGCCCAAGGAAGCUUGUAUGCUCCUUCCACCAAGUGAGGACACAGCUAGCAGGUGCUGUGUAUGGAGCCAAAAGCUAGCCCUUACCAGACACCAAAUCUACUGGCACUUUUUUUUUUUUUUUUUUUUUGAGAGAAAUCUCACUUUUGUCCCCCAGGCUUGAGUGCAAUGGCUCAACCUCGGCUCACUGCAACCUCCGCCUCCCAGGUUCAAAUGAUUCUCCCGCCUCUACCUCCCAAGUAGCUGGGAUUAAGGCACCUGCCACCAUGCCCAGCUAAUUUUUCUAUUUUUUAGUAGAGACGGGGUUUCACCAUGUUGGCCAGGCUGGUUUUGAACUCCUGACCUCAGAUGAUCCGCCCACCUCAGCCUCCCAAAGUGCUGGGAUUACAGGCGUGAGCCACUGCACCCAGCCUCUACUGGCACCUUGAUCUUGGACUUCCUAGCCUCUAGAACUAGAAGAAGUAUAUUUCUGAUAUUUUUGUUAACUCAUCUAAGGUAUUGUGUUAGAGUAGCCCAAACAGGCUAAGAGAAACUUCCUGCUCUUUACCGAGGGACUAUAUUUUUCUUAUGUUUGGAUUCCUGAAUUUAAUUAAAUUAAAUAAUUUUAAAUAUACAGUAUUAUAGUCUUCCUAAGAUAAUUAUAUUAUCUGAAAUUCUUUAUGAUCUAAUCAGCAUUUGUUCUAUUUGCAAUCUCUCAUAGUGGAUUCUGUUUUUAAAUGUUCAAUUGUAAGUUCAUCUUCACCAGUGCUUCAGUGAAAAAAUCCAACAUUUAUCCCUCCAGAAUGUCUUAUAUUUACUUCUAAAAAUCCCAGGAGUAUUACCACCCCUUAAUGUUAAUUUUAGUGUUAAUUUCUCAACAUAGAUGUUUCCAGCCCAUACAAGUAUUGUAAUUCAAGCUCCAAACACAAGUGAAGUCAAAUCUAUGGUUAUAAAUGUCUUAGGGAGAAUUUUUCUUCCAGAGAUUGGGCUAAAACAGACAAGCCACAUUACUGGUAUUUUUUUUCUAGACCACACUUGCUCUUCAAGGGUCCCAGCUAGCAAGAAUGGAGGGGGACCUAAGGAAGAAGACCCUAUUAGAUAUUUAGGAGGUAUACAGGAAGAGGCAGGAAAGGAAGAAAAAGCAAUUUUAAACCCUCCAAAACAAAAUGAGCCCACAAACUAAAAUUCUAACACCUGAAUAAAUCUAAUGGUAAGACAGAUGGCAUAAAAUUAAUAAAAGAAAAAAAUUGGACCAUGAACUAACUCCAGAUGAAAUUAUUUUUUAUGGAGGAUUUUGAUAAGUCUCCUAAAGUAAGUAUGCCCAAAAAGAUAAACUAAAGCAAAGCAUUUAAAUUUUUUAAUUAUGAGAAAUCAUUAUGCAUUAAUGAAACAAGACCAUAUAAAUAUAAGAAAAAAUAAUUAUCUUGGGCAUGAAAUAUAUAAUCAUUUAAAUUAAAAACUCAAUAGAUGGUACCCAGAUAGGCUUAGAAAACAGUAUUCAAGGAUUCAUCCACGCCUGUAAUCCCAGCACUUUGGGAGGCUGAGGCAGGUGAAUUGCCUGAGGUCAGGAGUUCGAGACCAGCCUGGCCAACAUGGUGAAACCCCAUCUCUGCUAAAAAUACAAAAAUUAGCUGGGCGUGGUGGCACAAGCCUGUAAUCCCAGCUACUCAGGAGGCUGAGGCAGUAGAAUUGCUUGAACCCAGGAGGCGGAGGUUGCAGUGAGCCGAGAUCACACCACUGCACUCCAGCCUGGGCAACAAGAGCGAAACUCUGUCUCAAAAAAAAAAAAAAAAAAAAAAAAAUUCACCUGGAAAGGAACAAAGAAGAGAAUAAAAAAUAUGAAAGUACAAUUAGGUACUACUGGAGAUAAUUGAGAAGAUAAAAAAUAUAUCUAAUAUCUAAUUGGAGAAUCAAAAUGGAUGCAAUAAGAAAAGCAAAUAUUAAAAUUUUCCAGAACUAAAGAAAGUCAUGUGUUCUCAAAAGAAAGUGAAGCAAGCAGGAUAAAAGACAUUUUUAGACCUAGACAUACCAUAGUGAAACAUAAGAAUGUAAGGAAUUAAAAAAAUUAUAAAAGUAUCAGGGAGAAAGUUAGCAUCCCUAUAAAGGAAAAAUAAUGAGAUGAUAGUUGAUUUGUCAUCAACAAUAAUAGAAGCCAGGAGAAAAAAUAGUUGUCAACCUAAAAUUAUAUGCCCAGCAAAAUUACUGCUGAAGACUCAAGUCAAAACAAAAACAAUCUUUGAUAUGAAAAGAAUAAGAAAGUUUACUACUCACUGACAUAUCAUAAAUAAUUACUAAAGAAUAUACAUCAACAAGAAAAAAACUGAAAUCAGAGGGAAAGCACGGGAUAGGAAAAAAAUGGCAAGUUCAGAAAAAUGAUAAACUAAAUUGGCAAAGUGAGUUACAUUUGAGAAUAUGUAUAUAUUAAUACAUAUAAUAAUAUAUAUAAUAUUUUUGUUUGAAAAAAGGUAAAAUUGGAUGAAAUGAUUUGAUAUCUGAGACUUAAAGUAUUCCACACUUACAAAAAAAAAAGUGUGGGGGACAUGAAGACAGAAAAGAAACAAUGUUGAUAAUUGUUGAAGCUAGAUGAUGGAUACAUGAGGGUUCAUUAUGCUGUUCUCUACUUGCACUAUAAAUGUUUGAAAUUUUUAAUAAUAAAAAAGCUUUUUAAGUAAAAUUAUACUUCUAUAUUAAAAUAUCAGAAUAAAAGGGUUUUGUGGUGAUUAAAAUUGUGUUUUUCAUAUUUGGGAGGAAGGAAGGAAUACUGAGCAACUUUUGAAUUUGUUAGAUCAAUUUGUAGGUAGUGUAUAAAAGCUAACCAUUAAAAGAUUAGAAAUAUAAUCUGUAUCUUCAAAAUUAUUAUGGGGGGAAAAUUAAUAUAGAAAAGUUUGUCAACCAACAAAAGGCUAGGAAAGAAGGGUAAAAAAGAAAUAAGAAAAGAUAAUAAAUAGAAAACCAAAAUGGUAUGGUAGAGUGAAAUCCAAAUUUGUCAACAUUAUAAUAAAUUUUACUAAAUUAACAUUAAAAGACAUUUUCACAUGACAAGGAGCACAUAAACCAACUACAUGCACUUUAUAAGAAAUACAGCAUAACAAAAUCACAAAGAAAUGAUGAAAAUAAAAGAAUAGAAAAAUACAUAUUAUAAAAGUACUUAAAAAAAUAAAGAAGUUAGAAUAGUAAUAUCUGUAUCAGACCAAAUAGAACUUAAUGCAAACAGCAUUAAUAGGAAAAAAAAGUGACAAUGUAAAAAAGGGACACUUUACUUUUUAAAGGACACUUUAAAAAAAAUCAAUUUUUAAAGUGAUUAAGGCCGGGUACAGUGGAUCAUGCCUGUAAUCCCAGCACUUUGGGAGGCUGAGGUGGGUGAAUCACAAGGUCAGGAGUUCAAGACCAGCCUGGCCAAGAUGGUGAAACCCUGUCUCUACUAAAAAUACAAAAAUUAGCCAGGCAUGGUGGCAGGUACCUGUAAUCCCAGCUACUCGGGAGGCUGAGGCAGAGAAUUGGCUUGAACCCCGGAGGCAGAGGUUGCAGUGAGCCGAGAUCACACCACUGCACUCCAACCUGGGUGACAGAGCAAGACUCCAUCUCAAAAAAAAAAAAAAAGAAAGAAAAAGAAAAAGAAAAGAAAAAAAAGUGCUUAAAAAAAUACAUUAGUCAGAAAUUUCCAACUUGAAUCAUACCAUUAAGAAAAUGAACACAAAUACCCAGAUGGUGAGAAAAUGUUAGCAAAGCAGAUAUCUGACAAAGAACUAGUAGCAAAGAUAUAUAAAUAAUUUUAAAAUUAUAAAGACACCACUUCACACCUAGUAGAUGGGUUAAAAAUGUUAAAACUGACCAUACCAAGUGUUGGUAAGGAUGUUGAACAACUGGAACUCUUACACACUGUUCACAGGAAUGUGAAAUAGAAUAACCACUUUGGAAAACAGUAAGUUAAACAUUUACCAACUGUGAUGGUUUAUACAGAGUGUCAACUUGAUUGGAUUGAAGGAUUCAAAGUAUUGAUCCUGGGUGUGUCUGUGAGGGUGUUGCCAAAGGAGAUUAACAUUUGAGUCAGUGGGCUGGGAAAGGCAGACUCACCCUUAAUCUGAGUGGGCGCAAUCUAUUCGGCUGCCAGCACGGCUAGAAUGUAAGCAGGCAGAAAAAUGUGAAAAGAGAGACUGGCCUAGCUUCGCAGCCUACAGCUUUCUCCUAUGCUGGAUGCUUCCUGCCCUCGAACAUCAGACUCCAAGUUCUUCGGUUUUGAAUUUGGACUGGCUCUCCUCUCUCCUCAGCCUGCAGAUGGCCUAUUGUGGGACCCUGUGAUUGUGUGAGUUAUACUUAAUAAACUCCCCUUUAUAUUCCAUUACUUCUGUCGCUCUAGAGAACCCUAGUACACCAACCAUACAACUCCGCCAUUCCACUCCUAGGUGUUUGCCCACAAGAAAUGAAAACUUAGGUUCACAUACAGAAUAUACACAAAUAUUCAUAGCCAAAUGAAAACUUAGGUUCACAUACAGAAUAUACACAAAUAUUCAUAGCCCAAAUCUGGAAACAACAUAAACGUCCCCAACAGGUGAAUCUACAAACAAAUUGUGGUAUAUCUACACAAUGGGAUACUACUGAGCAAUAUAAAGUAAAUGAACUAUCAAUAUAUACAACAACAUGAAUAAGUCUCAAAAUUAUUCUCAAACAGUAGGGUUUCUAGGCAAUUUAAGGGUGUUGUUUCUCUGUAGUCUAAGCCAAAGCCCAAGAUAGAGAAGGGC